AGUGAACGCUGGCGGUAGGCCUAACACAUGCAAGUCGAACGGCAGCACAGUAAGAGCUUGCUCUUACGGGUGGCGAGUGGCGGACGGGUGAGGAAUACAUCGGAAUCUACUUUUUCGUGGGGGAUAACGUAGGGAAACUUACGCUAAUACCGCAUACGACCUACGGGUGAAAGCAGGGGAUCUUCGGACCUUGCGCGAUUGAAUGAGCCGAUGUCGGAUUAGCUAGUUGGCGGGGUAAAGGCCCACCAAGGCGACGAUCCGUAGCUGGUCUGAGAGGGUGAGCAGCCACACUGGAAGUGAGACACGGUCCAGACUCCUACGGGAGGCAGCAGUGGGGAAUAUUGGACAAUGGGCGCAAGCCUGAUCCAGCCAUACCGCGUGGGUGAAGAAGGCCUUCGGGUUGUAAAGCCCUUUUGUUGGGAAAGAAAAGCAGCAGGUUAAUACCCCGCUGUUCUGACGGUACCCAAAGAAUAAGCACCGGCUAACUUCGUG
Molecule: ribosomal RNA, 492 nt
Filed under: uncultured bacterium
Lineage: Bacteria
Description: partial 16S ribosomal RNA
Rfam family: Bacterial small subunit ribosomal RNA
Source: RNAcentral